AGCGAACGCUGGCGGCAGGCUUAACACAUGCAAGUCGAACGCCCCGCAAGGGGAGUGGCAGACGGGUGAGUAACACGUGGGAACGUACCCUUUGGUUCGGAAUAACUUGGGGAAACUCAAGCUAAUACCGGAUAAGCCCUUAUGGGGAACGGUUUACUGCCGAAGGAUCGGCCCGCGUCUGAUUAGCUAGUUGGUGAGGUAAUGGCUCACCAAGGCGACGAUCAGUAGCUGGUCUGAGAGGAUGAUCAGCCACACUGGGACUGAGGACACGGCCCAGACUCCUACGGGAGGCAGCAGUGGGGAAUAUUGGACAAUGGGGGCAACCCUGAUCCAGCCAUGCCGCGUGAGUGAUGAAGGCCUUAGGGUUGUAAAGCUCUUUUACCCGGGACGAUAAUGACUGUACCGGGAGAAUAAGCCCCGGCUAACUUCGUGCCAGCAGCCGCCGUAA
Molecule: ribosomal RNA, 448 nt
Filed under: uncultured bacterium
Lineage: Bacteria
Description: partial 16S ribosomal RNA
Rfam family: Bacterial small subunit ribosomal RNA
Source: RNAcentral